UUGAUCAUGCAUUGGACUGCAGAAAU
Molecule: non-coding RNA, 26 nt
Filed under: Homo sapiens (human)
Lineage: Eukaryota; Metazoa; Chordata; Mammalia; Primates; Hominidae
Source: RNAcentral